This 427-nucleotide ribosomal RNA is filed under the name uncultured beta proteobacterium. RNAcentral describes it as "bacterial SSU rRNA". It matches the Rfam family "Bacterial small subunit ribosomal RNA", at positions 355 to 774 of the family's 1533-position model. Lineage: Bacteria; Pseudomonadati; Pseudomonadota; Betaproteobacteria. The record is from RNAcentral.
UGGGGAAUUUUGGACAAUGGGCGAAAGCCUGAUCCAGCCAUGCCGCGUGAGUGAAGAAGGCCUUCGGGUUGUAAAGCUCUUUUAGUCGGAAAGAAAGAGUUGCAAUGAAUAAUUGUGAUUUAUGACGGUACCGACAGAAAAAGCACCGGCUAACUACGUGCCAGCAGCCGCGGUAAUACGUAGGGUGCGAGCGUUAAUCGGAAUUACUGUGCGUAAAGGGUGCGCAGGCGGUCUUGCAAGUCAGAUGUGAAAGCCCCGGGCUUAACCUGGGAAUUGCGUUUGAAACUACAAGGCUAGAGUGCGGCAGAGGGGAGUGGAAUUCCAUGUGUAGCAGUGAAAUGCGUAGAGAUGUGGAAGAACACCGAUGGCGAAGGCAGCUCCCUGGGUUGACACUGACGCUCAUGCACGAAAGCGUGGGGAGCAAACA